This 445-nucleotide ribosomal RNA is filed under the name uncultured bacterium. RNAcentral's name for it is "partial 16S ribosomal RNA". It matches the Rfam family "Bacterial small subunit ribosomal RNA", at positions 354 to 796 of the family's 1533-position model. The record is from RNAcentral.
GUGAGGAAUAUUGGUCAAUGGGCGAGAGCCUGAACCAGCCAAGUCGCGUGAAGGAUGAAGGUUUUAUGAAUUGUAAACUUCUUUUGCAGGGGAAUAAAGUACGGUACGUGUACCGUUUUGUAUGUACUCUGCGAAUAAGGAUCGGCUAACUCCGUGCCAGCAGCCGCGGUAAUACGGAGGAUCCAAGCGUUAUCCGGAUUUAUUGGGUUUAAAGGGUGCGCAGGCGGGUUGAUAAGUCAGCGGUGAAAGUUUGCAGCUUAACUGUAAAAUUGCCGUUGAAACUGUCGAUCUUGAGUGCAAAUGAGGUAAGCGGAAUGUGUUGUGUAGCGGUGAAAUGCUUAGAUAUAACACAGAACACAGAUUGCGAAGGCAGCUUACUGGGAUGCAACUGACGCUCAUGCACGAAAGCGUGGGGAUCAAACAGGAUUAGAAACCCCUGUAGUCC